This is a non-coding RNA of Populus trichocarpa (black cottonwood), 71 nucleotides long. NCBI's taxonomy places the organism in Eukaryota, Viridiplantae, Streptophyta, Magnoliopsida, Malpighiales, Salicaceae. The record is from Rfam.
UGGCAUAUGAUGAGGUACUCGGAUUCCCCUGCAAGACAAUAUGGGUGAUGUAAAACCGAGCUUCCGAUGCU